Long non-coding RNA from Haliotis rufescens (red abalone), 1143 nucleotides. RefSeq lists it as uncharacterized. The record is from RefSeq and is a predicted model, not a curated record. The transcript is spliced from 2 exons. Lineage: Eukaryota; Metazoa; Mollusca; Gastropoda; Lepetellida; Haliotidae.
GCUCGGUUUAUUCAACCACAUUAUAAUAGACUAUGUAGAGAUAAUAAAAUCCCUGAAAGGAGCUUACUAAAAUAUAUCAACGCUUAACCUGGUGGACCCUGGCAUAUCACGGGGCAUAUCUUGUGACGGUAUAUCUUGCAACUGGAUCUUGUCACAUUAUAUUGAGACGUGUCCGUAAACUUUGUGGUGUUGAAUCCUCAAGAAAUAUGCUCAUCCACGUGCACGUAUAUGAGAUAAAUGGCAGAGAACUCAACUAUGACCUGAAAGUGAACAGGAAGGAUUCCCUAAACACACUGAUGAUGGACCUACAAGAGAAGACAAACAGCACUUACUACUUUCUUUUUCACAAUGUCGAAGAACUGAAUCUCAACAUGACCUUUGAUGAUUGCGAUAUAUAAGAUGGAAGUACGAUUGUGGCUACACCCGAUGAUCAUUAUGGUAGAGUCGGAGGUUUGGGACCACGACGUUGGAUUUCGAAGACUGACCGUGGAGAAGUGAUGAUACAUAGAUCGUUACGCAUGGAAACAACAGUGAAGACUCUGAGGAAGUCGAUAUCCGAGCAGAUUGAUACUCCACUUGAAAAGUUAAAGUUUGUCUUUGAUGGAACCGAAUUAGAGGAUACUAAAACAAUUGGCGAGUUGGGGAUUGAAGAACCGGAUAUUGGAAACUACGGCAUCAGACUGGAACCAGUGUACAAUGCAAACAGAGAGAAAACUGGAUUCAAGUUGGUGCUGGAGAGACAAUGAUAUGAGAAAUAUUUCUGCCCUCUAUCAUGAAGGUCAAGCUUAUGACAUCUGUUUCAAAUCUGUUUGUAACCAUUAUAACUUAAAUGAUAUGAUUUUCUCAUGUAUGUGGUAUAUAUUUUUAAUAUGUUUGUUAUCUGAAGGCAUGCUUCGAAUUCCCGACCUUCUGCUCUGCCACUUGACCACGGAUGCGGUAUCGAAGGCAAUGUAUUCACCGAUGCGAUUUGUCAUUUCUUUGCUUAUAUGCUAGAACGUAUUGUCAGAGAAAAUCAUCUGAUACGAUGCAAACAAUGGCAUUGUUACAUAUCAAUAUUUCUGUAAUCAUGUAGAACUGUUUCUUUUGUUCUUGAUGUUUCAGAUUGAAUGUUUCAGUUAUUCUUAAUAAAAAAUAAUAAUAUGA